RNAcentral lists this ribosomal RNA (460 nucleotides) under uncultured bacterium. Its description in RNAcentral is "partial 16S ribosomal RNA". It matches the Rfam family "Bacterial small subunit ribosomal RNA", at positions 338 to 795 of the family's 1533-position model. The record is from RNAcentral.
CCUACGUGUGGCAGCAGUGAGGAAUAUUGGUCAAUGGACGAAAGUCUGAACCAGCCAAGCAGCGUGAAGGAUGACUGCCCUAUGGGUUGUAAACUUCUUUUAUAUGGGAGUAAAAUGUUCUACGUGUGUGAUUUUGUAUGUACCAUAUGAAUAAGGAUCGGCUAACUCCGUGCCAGCAGCCGCGGUAAUACUGAGGAUCCGAGCUUUAUCCGGAUUUAUUGGGUUUAAAGGGAGCGUAGGUGGAUUGUUAAGUCAGUUGUGACAGUUUGCGGCUCAACCGGAAAAUUGCAGUUGAAACUGGCAGUCUUGAGUACAGUAGAGGUGGGCGGAAUGCGUGGUGUAGCGGUGAAAUGCUUAGAUAUCACGAAGAACUCCGAUUGCGAAGGCAGCUCACUGGACUGCAACUGACACUGAGGCACGAAAGUGUGGGUAUCAAACAGGAUUAGAUACCCGUGUAGUC